GACGAACGCUGGCGGCGUGCUUAACACAUGCAAGUCGAACGGAAAGGCCUUUUCGGAGGUACUCGAGUGGCGAACGGGUGAGUAACACGUGGGUGAUCUGCCCUGCACUCUGGGAUAAGCCUGGGAAACUGGGUCUAAUACCGGAUAGGACCGCACUUUAGUGUGUGUGGUGGAAAGUUUUUUCGGUGUAGGAUGAGCCCGCGGCCUAUCAGCUUGUUGGUGGGGUAAUGGCCUACCAAGGCGGCGACGGGUAGCCGGACUGAGAGGUUGGUCGGCCACAUUGGGACUGAGAUACGGCCCAGACUCCUACGGGAGGCAGCAGUGGGGAAUAUUGCACAAUGGGCGCAAGCCUGAUGCAGCGACGCCGCGUGGGGGAUGACGGCCUUCGGGUUGUAAACUCCUUUCGCCAGGGAUGAAGCGUUUUGUGACGGUACCUGGAGAAGAAGCACCGGCUAACUACGUG
Molecule: ribosomal RNA, 463 nt
Filed under: uncultured bacterium
Lineage: Bacteria
Description: partial 16S ribosomal RNA
Rfam family: Bacterial small subunit ribosomal RNA
Source: RNAcentral